GUUGCUACGAUUUGCUCAGGGUCGUUGUCAAGUCACCUUGCAAGAUAACAGCCGGCUGAGUCACCGCUAGCACCUAGACUUACUUUCAGCAAGGAGUCCAACACUACUGGCGGAAAUCCUGUGCCUCUAACAAGCUCAGCCUCUCUGUGGGACGUUCUUCGGGAUCCCUCCGCAGGAGCGCCUGUCCUUUGGGAGGAAGAAGAGCCAACUGGGGUCGUUUGCCUUGGUCUCCUCUCUUCGCUACAUCCACCUAAAGAUUGUUGCAGCCCUCAGUAUCCAUGGAGAAGCCCAGGCUGGAGCACCGGAGACGGCCACGUGCAGAGAUGCCAGGCACUGUCCGAUUGUGAUUGCAGGAAACUGGAGCCCACACAGAACUGGUUGCCGCAGUAGGAGCUGGAAUAAGAGACAGGUGAGGCUGGGAGGAUUUCAACAGGUACC
This 438-nucleotide long non-coding RNA is filed under the name Macaca nemestrina (pig-tailed macaque). Its description in RNAcentral is "lncRNA (ENSMNEG00000046081.1)". The record is from RNAcentral. Lineage: Eukaryota; Metazoa; Chordata; Mammalia; Primates; Cercopithecidae.